RNAcentral lists this ribosomal RNA (451 nucleotides) under Babesia bigemina. Its description in RNAcentral is "SSU rRNA". It matches the Rfam family "Eukaryotic small subunit ribosomal RNA", at positions 1195 to 1661 of the family's 1831-position model. Lineage: Eukaryota; Apicomplexa; Aconoidasida; Piroplasmida; Babesiidae. The record is from RNAcentral.
GUGUACAAAGGGCAUGGAUGAUUACCUCACCAGGUCCAGACAGAGUAAGGAUUGACAGAUUGAUAGCUCUUUCUUGAUUCUUUGGGUGGUGGUGCAUGGCCGUUCUUAGUUGGUGGAGUGAUUUGUCUGGUUAAUUCCGUUAACGAACGAGACCUUAACCUGCUAACUAGCUGCUUGGAUGUUGUCCUCGUUUGCUUCUUAGAGGGACUCCUGUGCUUCAAGCGUGGGGGAAGUUUAAGGCAAUAACAGGUCUGUGAUGCCCUUAGAUGUCCUGGGCUGCACGCGCGCUACACUGAUGCAUCCAUCGAGUUUGUCCUGUCCCGAAAGGGUUGGGUAAUCUUUAGUGUGCAUCGUGUCGGGGAUUGAUUUUUGCAAUUCUAAAUCAUGAACGAGGAAUGCCUAGUAUGCGCAAGUCAUCAGCUUGUGCAGAUUACGUCCCUGCCCUUUUGUA